Molecule: ribosomal RNA, 253 nt
Filed under: uncultured bacterium
Lineage: Bacteria
Description: partial 16S ribosomal RNA
Rfam family: Bacterial small subunit ribosomal RNA
Source: RNAcentral
UACAGAGGUCUCAAGCGUUGUUCGGAUUCAUUGGGCGUAAAGGGUGCGUAGGCGGCGCGGUAAGGCGGGUGGGAAAUCUUGGAGCUUAACUCCGAAACUGCAUUCGAUACUGCCGUGCUUGAGGACUGGAGAGGAGACUGGAAUUUACGGUGUAGCGGUGAAAUGCGUAGAUAUCGUAAGGAAGACCAGUGGCGAAGGCGGGUCUCUGGACAGUUCCUGACGCUGAGGCACGAAGGUCAGGGGAGCAAACGGG